UACAGAGACUGCAAGCGUUAUUCGGAUUCACUGGGCGUAAAGGGUGCGCAGGCGGCCAAGUGUGUGAGGCGUGAAAGCCCGGGGCUUAACCCCGGAAUUGCACCUCAAACUACAUGGCUAGAGCAUUGGAGAGGGUAGCGGAAUUCACGGUGUAGCAGUGAAAUGCGUAGAUAUCGUGAGGAACACCAGAGGCGAAGGCGGCUACCUGGACAAUUGCUGACGCUCAGGCACGGAAGCGUGGGGAGCAAAAGGG
Molecule: ribosomal RNA, 253 nt
Filed under: uncultured bacterium
Lineage: Bacteria
Description: partial 16S ribosomal RNA
Rfam family: Bacterial small subunit ribosomal RNA
Source: RNAcentral